Molecule: transfer RNA, 77 nt
Filed under: Marmota monax (woodchuck)
Lineage: Eukaryota; Metazoa; Chordata; Mammalia; Rodentia; Sciuridae
Description: tRNA.Ala
Rfam family: tRNA
About the family: Transfer RNA (tRNA) molecules are approximately 80 nucleotides in length.
Source: RNAcentral
GGGGGUGGAUAUAGCUCAGUUGGUAGAGUGCUUGCCUUGCAUGUACAAGGCCCUGGGUUCGAUCCCCAGCACCCCUA